UACGUAGGGGGCUAGCGUUGUCCGGAAUCAUUGGGCGUAAAGAGCGCGUAGGCGGCCAGAUAAGUCCGGUGUGAAAGUCAAAGGCUCAACCUUUGAAUGCCGCUGGAAACUGUCUGGCUAGAGUCCGGAAGAGGCGAGUGGAAUUCCUGGUGUAGCGGUGGAAUGCGCAGAUAUCAGGAGGAACACCAAUAGCGAAGGCAGCUCGCUGGGACGGUACUGACGCUGAGGUGCGAAAGCGUGGGGAGCAAACAGG
This 253-nucleotide ribosomal RNA is filed under the name uncultured bacterium. RNAcentral's name for it is "partial 16S ribosomal RNA". It matches the Rfam family "Bacterial small subunit ribosomal RNA", at positions 524 to 776 of the family's 1533-position model. The record is from RNAcentral.